AAUCAACGCUGGCGGCGUGCCUCAGACAUGCAAGUCGAACGCGAAAGUCCCCUUCGGGGGAUGAGUAGAGUGGCGUCCGGGUGAGUAACACGUAGGUAAUCUACCUUUGGGUGGGGAAUAACCCCGAGAAAUCGGGGCUAAUACCGCAUAAUGCAGCGGCACCACAUGGUGACAGUUGUUAAAGCGGGGGAUCGCAAGACCUCGCGCCUAAAGAGGAGCCUGCGGCGGAUUAGCUAGNGGUAGGGUAACGGCCUACCAAGGCAACGAUCCGUAGCCGGCCUGAGAGGGCGGUCGGCCACACUGACACUGAAAUACGGGUCAGACUCCUACGGGAGGCAGCAGUCGGGAAUUUUGGGCAAUGGGCGAAAGCCUGACCCAGCAACGCCGCGUGAAGGAUGAAAUCCCUCGGGAUGUAAACUUCGCAAGAACAGGAAGAAUAAAGUA
This 444-nucleotide ribosomal RNA is filed under the name uncultured bacterium. RNAcentral describes it as "bacterial SSU rRNA". It matches the Rfam family "Bacterial small subunit ribosomal RNA", at positions 32 to 456 of the family's 1533-position model. The record is from RNAcentral.